UCGGACGUGGUGUAUGGUGCACGCCCACUUCUACUACGUUGCAAAUCAAUAGAAAGUGAGAAGCCUGGGUUCGAUUCUCAGCGUCCGGA
Molecule: non-coding RNA, 89 nt
Organism: Mycena vulgaris
Lineage: Eukaryota; Fungi; Basidiomycota; Agaricomycetes; Agaricales; Mycenaceae
Source: the annotation of a GenBank genome assembly